CAAUAGCGUAUAUUAAAGUUGUUGCAGUUAAAAAGCUCGUAGUUGGACCUUGGACCUGGACAGGCGGUCCGCCUCACGGCGUGUACUGUCUUGCUGGGUCUUUCCUCUUGGUGAUCUGUUGUUUCGGCAGCAGGGAACCAGGACUUUUACUUUGAAAAAAUUAGAGUGUUCAAAGCAGGCUCGACGCCGGAAUAUAUUAGCAUGGAAUAAUAAAAUAGGACGUGCGGUUCUAUUUUGUUGGUUUUUGGAAUCGCCGUAAUGAUUAAUAGGGACAGUCGGGGGCAUUAGUACUCACGUGCUAGAGGUGAAAUUCUUGGAUUUUGUGAAGACUAACUUCUGCGAAAGCAUUUGCCAAGGAUGUUUUCAUUAA
Molecule: ribosomal RNA, 370 nt
Filed under: uncultured eukaryote
Lineage: Eukaryota
Description: partial 18S ribosomal RNA
Rfam family: Eukaryotic small subunit ribosomal RNA
Source: RNAcentral